AGAAAAAAAAUUAGAUGACGAAGACAACUCAUUGGACACCGUGGAUGAAUAUAGUCCAAGCGAAACAGAUGCAGAGGAAAGCGGAUCAACUUUGACAAAGAAGAGAAGAUUGUCUUAACUAUGGCGAAAGUAUGAGAUCCACUCGCACCAACCUAUUAUGUGUGUUAGCUUGCGAAACAUACCUGUCGAAUCGGUCACAACUUGCUGAGGAAGUGAUUCUAGAAGAAGCGAACGUGGUGAUUUCGAUUCCAAUGCCUUUUGCUUUUCCCCUUUUUCCUUCUCAACUAGAUAUUUCCAAAUGUCCGCACCUUCAAUUGAAAUUUAGAAUCACUAUCAAAAGCGGGUUUGGCAUCA
This is a long non-coding RNA of Rhodamnia argentea, 354 nucleotides long. RefSeq lists it as uncharacterized. The record is from RefSeq and is a predicted model, not a curated record. The transcript is spliced from 3 exons. Lineage: Eukaryota; Viridiplantae; Streptophyta; Magnoliopsida; Myrtales; Myrtaceae.